GACGAACGCUGGCGGCGUGCUUAACACAUGCAAGUCGAACGGUGAAGCUCCAGCUUGCUGGAGUGGAUCAGUGGCGAACGGGUGAGUAACACGUGAGCAACCUGCCCCUGACUCUGGAAUAAGCGCUGGAAACGGCGUCUAAUACUGGAUACGAGAAGGGUCCGCAUGGGCACUUUCUGGAAAGUUUUUCGGUUGGGGAUGGGCUCGCGGCCUAUCAGCUUGUUGGUGAGGUAAUGGCUCACCAAGGCGACGACGGGUAGCCGGCCUGAGAGGGCGACCGGCCACACGGGGACUGAGACACGGCCCAGACUCCUACGGGAGGCAGCAGUGGGGAAUAUUGCACAAUGGGCGAAAGCCUGAUGCAGCGACGCCGCGUGAGGGAUGACGGCCUUCGGGUUGUAAACCUCUUUCAGCAGGGAAGAAGCGAAAGUGACGGUACCUGCAGAAGAAGCGCCGGCUAACUACGU
Molecule: ribosomal RNA, 467 nt
Filed under: uncultured bacterium
Lineage: Bacteria
Description: partial 16S ribosomal RNA
Rfam family: Bacterial small subunit ribosomal RNA
Source: RNAcentral